AUUUUUAAAAGCAGAAUUUUCCCAUUUUCUUUUCAUCUUUUCUCUCUUUCAAGAGAACAUGCGGGGGAAGGCCAAAACCCUAGCUCCGCCGCGGUCGCCGCCCCUGCUUGCCCGAGCCAUCUUCAGCCGCCCACGACGCGGCUCAAGCAUCAGUUCUUUUAAUAUUUUGUUUCUGUUUUAUUUCGUCUUUGAAAAUUGGAGGACAAGACAUCCGCGAUGGACCUUCACCGCGGCCACCGCCGGCCUCUCUCUCUGGCUUCUCCAAUUGCAGUGUUUUAGCAGGCUUGAUAUGUUAGCGCACAUAUAAGGGGACUAAAAAUGGAAGUUAGAAGAAACUCGAAAGACAUACAUCAGCUGGUGUAUUCCAAGGAAGUCAUAAGAGUAAAGAAGAUUGAAGACAUUUAAAUUUCACUUGUAUUGCAUUUAGUUUUUCUAUUUGGUCUGUAAUAGUAAAUAGGAAAUGAUAUGUAAUAAUUAAUGCAUUGCAUGCAUGAUAUGGAUAAAAGUUCAGUGAUGACUAUAAA
Molecule: long non-coding RNA, 524 nt
Organism: Malania oleifera
Lineage: Eukaryota; Viridiplantae; Streptophyta; Magnoliopsida; Santalales; Ximeniaceae
Exons: 2
Source: RefSeq, a predicted model, not a curated record